UGGCGAGUGGCGAACGGGUGAGUAAUACAUCGGAACGUGUCCUGUAGUGGGGGAUAGCCCGGCGAAAGCCGGAUUAAUACCGCAUACGAUCUGCGGAUGAAAGCGGGGGAUCCUUCGGGACCUCGCGCUACAGGGGCGGCCGAUGGCAGAUUAGCUAGUUGGUGGGGUAAAGGCCUACCAAGGCGACGAUCUGUAGCUGGUCUGAGAGGACGACCAGCCACACUGGGACUGAGACACGGCCCAGACUCCUACGGGAGGCAGCAGUGGGGAAUUUUGGACAAUGGGCGAAAGCCUGAUCCAGCAAUGCCGCGUGUGUGAAGAAGGCCUUCGGGUUGUAAAGCACUUUUGUCCGGAAAGAAAACCUCGUGGUUAAUACCCGUGGGGGAUGACGGUACCGGAAGAAUAAGCACCGGCUAACUACGUGCCAGCAGCCGCGGUAAUACGUAGGGUGCAAGCGUUAAUCGGAAUUACUGGGCGUAAAGCGUGCGCAGGCGGUCCGCUAAGACAGAUGUGAAAUCCCCGGGCUUAACCUGGGAACUGCAUUUGUGAC
RNAcentral lists this ribosomal RNA (550 nucleotides) under bacterium BaC2-65. Its description in RNAcentral is "bacterial SSU rRNA". It matches the Rfam family "Bacterial small subunit ribosomal RNA", at positions 89 to 633 of the family's 1533-position model. The record is from RNAcentral.